AAGGAUGUAGCUCAGUGGUAGAGCACAUGCCUGGUAUGCAUGAGACCCUUGGAUUUGAGCCUUA
Non-coding RNA from Cricetulus griseus (Chinese hamster), 64 nucleotides. The record is from Rfam. NCBI's taxonomy places the organism in Eukaryota, Metazoa, Chordata, Mammalia, Rodentia, Cricetidae.